CAGGGAUUCUACCUUGUUCCGUCACAGUGGGGAGCCAGCGGAGGGGUCGUAAACCAGGGCGGGGCUGGAUUUGAUUUGCAUUUUAAAACGAUUGUUCUGAGCUCCACCGAGAGCAGGGUUUGCAGCCCGUGGGGACAGAAGGAGUCUGCAGGCACGGCCUCAGUGAGAGACAGGGCUUCUGCCAGGCUGGGCCGUGGGGCCCUGGGGAAGAGCGGCGAUGCAGAUCUGAAAAUGCAGAGUGAACAGAAACUGCAUGGGAUUGUUUCACAUUCCUUCCAGGGACUGGAGAAGAACUGGCCCAGAGCGGAUUUAAGAAGAUGGUCGGGACAGAAGAAAGCUGCUUGAGGAGUCCAUCCCAAGAACUGUUCUCGUUCAACACACCCACGAUAGAUCAGCCUCCAAAAUCAGUACAUCACAGGAGAGAUAAGCCACAUAUCCUUAAGGAGAUGGAAUGACUCCAGGCCCCUUACAAAUGACUGUGUCUGGCUGAGCGGGCCAGUCAGAACUGGACCUGCUCGCCAUGGAAACAAAGACAAAGCAGAGUGGGGGGCAGGCUGAGGGUGGUGACACCUAUGCAAGUUCCACCCAGGGGGUGGUACUCUCCGUCCAACAGCCUGAAGUGUUUCCAUUUCCAUGGCACACUGUCCCUCUGGUGGUGAGAGGGCAUUCACCUCGCGGUAGAGAGAUGCUCCUUAGGAUUGAUUCAUUGCCAAUGUCGUGAUAACAUCCUCACCUUUGGUUCCUGUGAGCUUGGUUCAGAUGAGUCUGCCCCUGAGGGAGGAGUCCGUUCUGUGUCCGCCAAACAUCAACCAAUCAUCAAGCAAUGGAUGGAUAAGAUUUCUAGUGGGAAGACUGAUACCCAACUCCUAGCAAAUUAUCAAGUUGGCUUGAUGUUUGACUAUUAUGACCAAUACUGGGAUGAAGAUUCGCUAAAAGUCUUUGUGUAGCUGCUGGGUUUAUUUCUCCUGCACAGCUACUUCAGAAUUGCUGGGUUGUAUGUGAAAAAUAUUUAGUUAUGAAAAUCUGGAUGAUCGUAACCUCAGAGGAGUUCAGAAAGCAUUAGUUAUCCCCUAGGUGGAUGCCCACCUGCAGAGCUUCAAGACUAGAAGGAGGAUGCCAGAGCCAGCAUUUCUCCAAGCGGGCAGACCCUGCCGGGGCGGAGCAGAGGGAGCAUUCAACAGACAGCGGCCGCAAACCUGGCGGUUUCCACCUCCAGUCCCGGGGAGCUGUUAGAACCCAAACUAUCAAAAUGGCAACAUUUAAUUGAACAGCUGUUUGCAAAUCACAUGCUUAUUAGCUGCACGCUGAAAAAAAUAAAAAGGCCUACUUGUAUUUCAGUCUACUGACCAUCAAGAGCCCCCGUUAUGGUUAGAAUUCUCUUGAUUGUAAGCAAGAGCACGGUCACCUGCUAACACAGGAGAAAGACCCACACGCUGGCAUGGGGAGGGUGAGGCCCCAGGCAGCUUUGGGCACUAGCUACAUUCUCUCCUCUCUUCUGGGCGACUUUCUUCUUCCCUCUCUCUGCUCAGCUGGUCCAAAAUGGCUUCCUCUGGACAUCCUACCUUCUCUCCCUCACCCCGUCACGUUUACAUGGGCUGCGUCUUCACCCUGGACUGUUUUCUCUCCCCUUCUUAGCCUGGCUGCAUCCUGCCUGUGGCUUCAGUCUUCUCAGGUGCAGCCUUUUCUAGGUAGCUGCCCUCGAUCCCCAAGGCUGGGGUCCCCGAGCCCACCUGUAAGCUCCCGUGUUCGCUGGUGCUAACUAUGCCAUCUUAGGUCUUUCCACUCUGCAGUGUAAUUGCCG
Equus caballus (horse) is the source of this 1801-nucleotide long non-coding RNA. NCBI's taxonomy places the organism in Eukaryota, Metazoa, Chordata, Mammalia, Perissodactyla, Equidae. The record is from Ensembl.